RNAcentral lists this ribosomal RNA (118 nucleotides) under Clostridium manihotivorum. Lineage: Bacteria; Bacillati; Bacillota; Clostridia; Eubacteriales; Clostridiaceae. The record is from RNAcentral.
UCUGGUAAUGAUGCGUCUUAGGGUUACACCCGUACCCAUACCGAACACGAAGGUUAAGACUUAGACGGCUGAUGGUACUGCAUGGGUGACUGUGUGGGAGUGUAAGUGGUUGCCAGGU